Molecule: ribosomal RNA, 392 nt
Filed under: uncultured Gammaproteobacteria bacterium
Lineage: Bacteria; Pseudomonadati; Pseudomonadota; Gammaproteobacteria
Description: bacterial SSU rRNA
Rfam family: Bacterial small subunit ribosomal RNA
Source: RNAcentral
AAUGGGCGCAAGCCUGAUCCAGCCAUGCCGCGUGAGUGAUGAAGGCCCUAGGGUCGUAAAGCUCUUUCGCCAGGGAUGAUAAUGACAGUACCUGGUAAAGAAACCCCGGCUAACUCCGUGCCAGCAGCCGCGGUAAUACGGAGGGGGUUAGCGUUGUUCGGAAUUACUGGGCGUAAAGCGCACGUAGGCAGAUCGGAAAGUUGGGGGUGAAAUCCCGGGGCUCAACCCCGGAACUGCCUCCAAAACUAUCGGUCUAGAGUUCGAGAGAGAUGAGUGGAAUUCCGAGUGUAGAGGUGAAAUUCGUAGAUAUUCGGAGGAACACCAGUGGCGAAGGCGGCUCACUGGCUCGAUACUGACGCUGAGGUGCGAAAGUGUGGGGAGCAAACAGGAUU